RNAcentral lists this ribosomal RNA (1127 nucleotides) under uncultured fungus. RNAcentral's name for it is "eukaryotic LSU rRNA". The stretch from base 505 to 1127 matches the Rfam family "Eukaryotic large subunit ribosomal RNA", at positions 1 to 649 of the family's 3401-position model. The record is from RNAcentral. Lineage: Eukaryota; Fungi.
AGUCGUAACAAGGUCUCCGUAGGUGAACCUGCGGAGGGAUCAUUACCGAGUGUGGGCCCUCGCGCCCAACCUCCAACCCUUUGUCGAUUCGUAACCGUUGCCUCGGGGGGCGACCCGGACGUCGCGCCGGGAGUCCCCCAGAGGUCCAACCCAACACACUGCGUCCUUGCGUCGGAGUAUUGAAACUAAAUCAAUCAAAACUUUCAACAACGGAUCUCUUGGUUCUGGCAUCGAUGAAGAACGCAGCGAAAUGCGAUAAGUAAUGUGAAUUGCAGAAUUCAGUGAAUCAUCGAAUCUUUGAACGCACAUUGCGCCCUUUGGCAUUCCGAAGGGCAUGCCCGUUCGAGCGUCAUUACACCACUCAAGCCUGGCUUGGUAUUGGGCAUUACAUAUUCAGUUGUAGGCCUUCAAUUCUUCGGCUGGACGGUACGAAUCUCAGCGUUGUGGUUUAAUCAAAUCGCUGGCGAGGAGGGCCGGACGUCGCCGUAAAACUUCAUUACAGGUUGACCUCGGAUCGGGUAGGGAUACCCGCUGAACUUAAGCAUAUCAAUAAGCGGAGGAAAAGAAACCAACAGGGAUUGCCCUAGUAACGGCGAGUGAAGCGGCAACAGCUCAAAUUUGAAAUCUGGCGCAAGCCCGAGUUGUAAUUUGUAGAGGAUGCUUCUAGGCAGCGGCCGGUCUAAGUCUCUUGGAACAGGGCGUCAUAGAGGGUGAGAAUCCCGUAUGUGACCGGCUGGCACCCUAUACGUAGCUCCUUCGACGAGUCGAGUUGUUUGGGAAUGCAGCUCUAAAUGGGAGGUAAAUUUCUUCUAAAGCUAAAUACCGGCCAGAGACCGAUAGCGCACAAGUAGAGUGAUCGAAAGAUGAAAAGCACUUUGGAAAGAGAGUUAAAAAGCACGUGAAAUUGUUGAAAGGGAAGCGCUUGCAACCAGACUUGCUGACGGUGUUCCGCCGGUCUUCUGACCGGUCUACUCGCCGUCUGCAGGCCAACGUCGUCUGGGGCCGCCGGAGAAAGGUGGUGGGAAUGUAGCUCCCUCGGGAGUGUUAUAGCCCGCUACACAAUACGGCGCGCGCCGGGCGAGGUCCGCGCUUCGGCAAGGACGUUGGCGUAAUGGUCGUAAGCGGCC